This 481-nucleotide ribosomal RNA is filed under the name uncultured bacterium. Its description in RNAcentral is "partial 16S ribosomal RNA". It matches the Rfam family "Bacterial small subunit ribosomal RNA", at positions 28 to 507 of the family's 1533-position model. The record is from RNAcentral.
GAUGAACGCUGGCGGCGUGCUUAACACAUGCAAGUCGAACGAAGCACUUUAUUUGAUUUCCUUCGGGACUGAUUAUUUUGUGACUGAGUGGCGGACGGGUGAGUAACGCGUGGGUAACCUGCCUUGUACAGGGGGAUAACAGUUGGAAACGGCUGCUAAUACCGCAUAAGCGCACAGCAUCGCAUGAUGCAGUGUGAAAAACUCCGGUGGUAUAAGAUGGACCCGCGUUGGAUUAGCUAGUUGGUGAGGUAACGGCCCACCAAGGCGACGAUCCAUAGCCGACCUGAGAGUGUGACCGGCCACAUUGGGACUGAGACACGGCCCAAACUCCUACGGGAGGCAGCAGUGGGGAAUAUUGCACAAUGGGCGAAAGCCUGAUGCAGCGACGCCGCGUGAGCGAAGGAGUAUUUCGGUAUGUAAAGCUCUAUCAGCAGGGAAGAUAAUGACGGUACCUGACUAAGAAGCACCGGCUAAAUACGUG